RNAcentral lists this ribosomal RNA (484 nucleotides) under uncultured bacterium. Its description in RNAcentral is "partial 16S ribosomal RNA". It matches the Rfam family "Bacterial small subunit ribosomal RNA", at positions 29 to 507 of the family's 1533-position model. The record is from RNAcentral.
AUUGAACGCUGGCGGCAUGCUUUACACAUGCAAGUCGAACGGCAGCACGGGGGCAACCCUGGUGGCGAGUGGCGAACGGGUGAGUAAUACAUCGGAACGUGCCCGGCCGUGGGGGAUAACGUAGCGAAAGUUACGCUAAUACCGCAUACGAUCUGAGGAUGAAAGCGGGGGACCUUCGGACCUCGCGCGAUCGGAGCGGCCGAUGUCAGAUUAGGUAGUUGGUGGGGUAAAGGCCUACCAAGCCGACGAUCUGUAGCUGGUCUGAGAGGACGACCGGCCACACUGGGACUGAGACACGGCCCAGACUCCGACGGGAGGCAGCAGUGGGGAAUGUUGGACAAUGGGCGCAAGCCUGAUCCAGCCAUUCCGCGUGCAGGACGAAGGCCUUCGGGUUGUAAACUGCUUUUGUAUGGAACGAAAAGGCUCUGGCUAAUACCUGGGGGUCAUGACGGUACCGUAAGAAUAAGCACCGGCUAACUACGUG